AUGAACGCUAGCACAGGCUAACACAUGCAAGCGAGGGCAGCAUGAUCUUAGCUUGCUAAGAUUGAUGGCGACCGGCGCACGGGUGAGGUAACGCGUAUCCAACCUGGCCCUUAGUAGGGUAUAGCCCGGCGAAAGUCGGAUUAAUGCCCUAUGUUCUCCUUUGAAGGCAUCUGAGGAGGAGCAAAGAUUGAUCGCUAAGGGAUGGGGAUGCGUCUGAUUAGGCAGCAGGCGGGGUAACGGCCCACCUGGCCAACGAUCAGUAGGGGUUCUGAGAGGAAGGUCCCCCACACUGGUACUGAGACACGGACCAGACUCCUACGGGAGGCAGCAGUGAGGAAUAUUGGUCAAUGGGCGCGAGCCUGAACCAGCCAAGUAGCGUGCAGGAACCGACUGCCCUAUGGGUUGUAAACUGCUUUUAUGCGGGGAUAAAGUGCGGCACGCGUGCCGCUUUGCAGGUACCGCAUGAAUAAGGACCGGCUAAUUCCGUGCCAGCCGCCGC
This 499-nucleotide ribosomal RNA is filed under the name uncultured bacterium. RNAcentral describes it as "bacterial SSU rRNA". It matches the Rfam family "Bacterial small subunit ribosomal RNA", at positions 29 to 518 of the family's 1533-position model. The record is from RNAcentral.